GCUGGCGGCAUGCCUAAUACAUGCAAGUCGAGCGGAGUUGAUAGGAAGCUUGCUUCCUUGAUACUUAGCGGCGGACGGGUGAGUAACACGUAGGCAACCUGCNCUCAAGUUUGGGACAACUACCGGAAACGGUAGCUNAUACCGAAUAGUUGUUUUCUUCGCCUGAAGGAAACUGGAAAGACGGAGCAAUCUGUCACUUGGGGAUGGGCCUGCGGCGCAUUAGCUAGUUGGUGGGGUAACGGCUCACCAAGGCGACGAUGCGUAGCCGACCUGAGAGGGUGAUCGGCCACACUGGGACUGAGACACGGCCCAGACUCCUACGGGAGGCAGCAGUAGGGAAUCUUCCGCAAUGGGCGAAAGCCUGACGGAGCAAUGCCGCGUGAGUGAUGAAGGUUUUCGGAUCGUAAAGCUCUGUUGCCAGGGAAGAACGCUUGGGAGAGUAACUGCUCUCAAGGUGACGGUACCUGAGAAGAAAGCCCCGGCUAACUACGUGCCAGCAGCCGCGGUAAUAC
RNAcentral lists this ribosomal RNA (512 nucleotides) under uncultured marine bacterium. RNAcentral describes it as "bacterial SSU rRNA". It matches the Rfam family "Bacterial small subunit ribosomal RNA", at positions 35 to 526 of the family's 1533-position model. The record is from RNAcentral.